GAUCCUGGCUCAGGAUGAACGCUGGCGGCGUGCUUAACACAUGCAAGUCGAACGAGGAAUUUUAAAUGAGACUUCGGUGGAUUUUAAAAUUCUUAGUUGCGGACGGGUGAGUAACGCGUGGGCAACCUGCCCUGUACAGGGGGACAACAGCUGGAAACGGCUGCUAAUACCGCAUAAGCGCACAGCAUCGCAUGAUGCCGUGUGAAAAAACUCCGGUGGUACAGGAUGGGCCCGCGUUGGAUUAGG
This 246-nucleotide ribosomal RNA is filed under the name uncultured bacterium. RNAcentral describes it as "partial 16S ribosomal RNA". It matches the Rfam family "Bacterial small subunit ribosomal RNA", at positions 15 to 245 of the family's 1533-position model. The record is from RNAcentral.